This 253-nucleotide ribosomal RNA is filed under the name uncultured bacterium. Its description in RNAcentral is "partial 16S ribosomal RNA". It matches the Rfam family "Bacterial small subunit ribosomal RNA", at positions 524 to 776 of the family's 1533-position model. The record is from RNAcentral.
AACGUAGGUGGCAAGCGUUAUCCGGAUUUACUGGGCGUAAAGCGUGUGCAGGCGGAGGUUCAAGUGGUGUAUGAAAUCGCCCGGCUUAACCGGGCGGGGUUAUGCCAGACUGGGCCUCUGGAGGACAGGAGAGGGGCGUGGAAUUCCGGGUGUAGUGGUGAAAUGCGUAGAGAUCCGGAGGAACCCCAGCGGCGAAGGCGGCGCCCUGGCCUGUUUCUGACGCUCAGACACGACAGCAUGGGGAGCGAACGGG